This 438-nucleotide ribosomal RNA is filed under the name Streptomyces xiamenensis. RNAcentral's name for it is "bacterial SSU rRNA". It matches the Rfam family "Bacterial small subunit ribosomal RNA", at positions 579 to 1013 of the family's 1533-position model. Lineage: Bacteria; Bacillati; Actinomycetota; Actinomycetes; Kitasatosporales; Streptomycetaceae. The record is from RNAcentral.
CCUGUCGCGUCGAUUGUGAAAGCCCAGGGCUUAACCCUGGGUCUGCAGUCGAUACGGGCAGGCUAGAGUUCGGUAGGGGAGAUCGGAAUUCCUGGUGUAGCGGUGAAAUGCGCAGAUAUCAGGAGGAACACCGGUGGCGAAGGCGGAUCUCUGGGCCGAUACUGACGCUGAGGAGCGAAAGCGUGGGGAGCGAACAGGAUUAGAUACCCUGGUAGUCCACGCCGUAAACGGUGGGCACUAGGUGUGGGCAACAUUCCACGUUGUCCGUGCCGCAGCUAACGCAUUAAGUGCCCCGCCUGGGGAGUACGGCCGCAAGGCUAAAACUCAAAGGAAUUGACGGGGGCCCGCACAAGCGGCGGAGCAUGUGGCUUAAUUCGACGCAACGCGAAGAACCUUACCAAGGCUUGACAUACACCGGAAACGGCCAGAGAUGGUCGC